RNAcentral lists this ribosomal RNA (1307 nucleotides) under uncultured bacterium. Its description in RNAcentral is "bacterial SSU rRNA". It matches the Rfam family "Bacterial small subunit ribosomal RNA", at positions 28 to 1381 of the family's 1533-position model. The record is from RNAcentral.
AACGUACGCUGGCGGCACGCCUAACACAUGCAAGUCGAACGAAGUAGCAAUACUUAGUGGCAGACGGGUGAGUAACAUGUAGGUAUCUGCCCUUUGGCCUGGAAUAACACGAGGAAACUUGUGCUAAUACCGGAUAAGUCUUUACGGAGAAAGCUUUAUGCACCAUUGGAUGAGCCUGCACUUGAUUAGUUUGUUGGUGGGGUAAUGGCCUACCAAGACUGUGAUCAAUAGCUGAUUUGAGAGGAUGAUCAGCCACAUUGGGACUGAGACACGGCCCAAACUCCUACGGGAGGCAGCAGUGGGGAAUCUUGCACAAUGGAGGAAACUCUGAUGCAGCGAUGCCGCGUGAGUGAAGAAGGCCCUUGGGUUGUAAAGCUCUUUCGUCGGGGAAGAAAAUGACUGUACCCGAAUAAGAAGGUCCGGCUAACUUCGUGCCAGCAGCCGCGGUAAUACGAAGGGACCUAGCGUAGUUCGGAAUUACUGGGCUUAAAGAGUUCGUAGGUGGUUGAAAAAGUUAGUGGUGAAAUCCCAGAGCUUAACUCUGGAACUGCCAUUAAAACUUUUCAGCUAGAGUAUGAUAGAGGAAAGCAGAAUUUCUAGUGUAGAGGUGAAAUUCGUAGAUAUUAGAAAGAAUACCAAUUGCGAAGGCAGCUUUCUGGAUCAUUACUGACACUGAGGAACGAAAGCAUGGGUAGCGAAGAGGAUUAGAUACCCUCGUAGUCCAUGCCGUAAACGAUGUGUGUUAGACGUUGGAAAUUUAUUUUCAGUGUCGCAGGGAAACCGAUAAACACACCGCCUGGGGAGUACGACCGCAAGGUUAAAACUCAAAUGAAUUGGCGGGGACCCGCACAAGUAGUGGAGCAUGUGGUUUAAUUCGAAGAUACGCGCAGAACCUUACCAACACUUGACAUGUUCGUCGCGACUCUAAGAGAUUAGAGUUUUCGGUUCGGCCGGACGAAACACAGGUGCUGCAUGGCUGUCGUCAGCUCGUGUCGUGAGAUGUUGGGUUAAGUCCCGCAACGAGCGCAACCCUCACUUUUAGUUGCCAUCAUUAAGUUGGGCACUCUGAAAGAACUGCCAGUGAUAAGCUGGAGGAAGGUGGGGAUGACGUCAAGUCCUCAUGGCCCUUACGUGUUGGGCUACACACGUGCUACAAUGGUAUCUACAACAGGAAGCAAGACUGCGAAGUUAAGCAAAUCCCUAAAAGAUACCUCAGUUCGGAUUGCACUCUGCAACUCGAGUGCAUGAAGCUGGAAUUACUAGUAAUCGUGGAUCAGCGUGCCACGGUGAAAUGCGUUCCCGGGUCU